Molecule: ribosomal RNA, 628 nt
Filed under: uncultured Bacteroidales bacterium
Lineage: Bacteria; Pseudomonadati; Bacteroidota; Bacteroidia; Bacteroidales
Description: bacterial SSU rRNA
Rfam family: Bacterial small subunit ribosomal RNA
Source: RNAcentral
GWYGGCGACCGGCGCACGGGUGAGUAACACGUAUCCAACCUGCCGACAACACUGGGAUAGCCUUUCGAAAGAAAGAUUAAUACCGGAUGGCAUAGUUUUCCCGCAUGGGAURAUUAUUAAAGAAUUUCGGUUGUCGAUGGGGAUGCGUUCCAUUAGGCAGUUGGCGGGGUAACGGCCCACCAAACCAACGAUGGAUAGGGGUUCUGAGAGGAAGGUCCCCCACAUUGGAACUGAGACACGGUCCAAACUCCUACGGGAGGCAGCAGUGAGGAAUAUUGGUCAAUGGACGAGAGUCUGAACCAGCCAAGUAGCGUGAAGGAUGACUGCCCUAUGGGUUGUAAACUUCUUUUAUACGGGAAUAAAGUGAGCCACGUGUGGCUUUUUGUAUGUACCGUAUGAAUAAGGAUCGGCUAACUCCGUGCCAGCAGCCGCGGUAAUACGGAGGAUCCGAGCGUUAUCCGGAUUUAUUGGGUUUAAAGGGAGCGUAGGCGGGUUGUUAAGUCAGUUGUGAAAGUUUGCGGCUCAACCGUAAAAUUGCAGUUGAUACUGGCGACCUUGAGUGCAACAGAGGUAGGCGGAAUUCGUGGUGUAGCGGUGAAAUGCUUAGAUAUCACGAAGAACUCCGAUU